Molecule: ribosomal RNA, 503 nt
Filed under: uncultured bacterium
Lineage: Bacteria
Description: partial 16S ribosomal RNA
Rfam family: Bacterial small subunit ribosomal RNA
Source: RNAcentral
AUUGAACGCUGGCGGCAGGCUUAACACAUGCAAGUCGAGCGGGGUGAUGGUGCUUGCACUAUCACUUAGCGGCGGACGGGUGAGUAAUGCUUAGGAAUCUGCCUGUUAGUGGGGGACAACAUCUCGAAAGGGAUGCUAAUACCGCAUACGUCCUACGGGAGAAAGCAGGGGAUCACUUGUGACCUUGCGCUAAUAGAUGAGCCUAAGUCGGAUUAGCUAGUUGGUGGGGUAAAGGCCUACCAAGGCGACGAUCUGUAGCGGGUCUGAGAGGAUGAUCCGCCACACUGGGACUGAGACACGGCCCAGACUCCUACGGGAGGUAGCAGUGGGGAAUAUUGGACAAUGGGGGGAACCCUGAUCCAGCCAUGCCGCGUGUGUGAAGAAGGCCUUAUGGUUGUAAAGCACUUUAAGCGAGGAGGAGGCUCUUUUGGUUAAUACCCAAGAUGAGUGGUCGUUACUCGCAGAAUAAGCACCGGCUAACUCUGUGCCAGCCGCCGCAGUAA